RNAcentral lists this ribosomal RNA (255 nucleotides) under Klebsiella pneumoniae. Its description in RNAcentral is "partial 23S ribosomal RNA". It matches the Rfam family "Bacterial large subunit ribosomal RNA", at positions 1399 to 1656 of the family's 2925-position model. The record is from RNAcentral. Lineage: Bacteria; Pseudomonadati; Pseudomonadota; Gammaproteobacteria; Enterobacterales; Enterobacteriaceae.
AGGCCGAAAGGCGUAGUCGAUGGGAAACAGGUUAAUAUUCCUGUACUUGGUGUUACUGCGAAGGGGGGACGGAGAAGGCUAUGUUAGCCGGGCGACGGUUGUCCCGGUUUAAGCAUGUAGGCUGAUUAUCCAGGCAAAUCCGGAUAAUCAAGGCUGAGGUGUGAUGACGAGGCAUUACGGUGCUGAAGUAACAAAUGCCCUGCUUCCAGGAAAAGCCUCUAAGCAUCAGGUAACAUCAAAUCGUACCCCAAACCG